Amblyraja radiata (thorny skate) is the source of this 3837-nucleotide RNA transcript. It is a transcript of the gene named SPRY domain-containing protein 7, with no coding region annotated. NCBI's taxonomy places the organism in Eukaryota, Metazoa, Chordata, Chondrichthyes, Rajiformes, Rajidae. The transcript is spliced from 6 exons. The record is from RefSeq and is a predicted model, not a curated record.
CCUUCCCUCCUCCUCCCGCGACUAACGAAUUUGAGUCGAAUCUCGGCUUUCGGCGCCAUUUUCGACUUGAAGCAAAAUAAAAAGACCCACAGUCGAACAGCGCACGGCGGAGAAGAAGGAGCUGGAGACAGGAUGCGAGCGGGGUGAAAGUGAAAAAUGGCACGUCGGAGAGUGCGGGACAGACAAAAAGAAAAGGAUUGGGGCGAUGCGGGAGAGGAAUAGAGGAAGGAGUAGUAGGUUCGGACUUUUAAGUCACGACCAACAUUGAUGGUCGGAGACAGGUAAACCAGUUGAGCUGAAACUCCUGUUCAGUUAACUCGUCCGUUGACCAGGAACUCGUUCUCCCCAAUUAAUUCGCCCGAACCACAGCUGCAAAGGGAUGAAGGAAAGGAGCAGAAUAGUGCGGAAGAAGUAGCGAAGCCAAUUUUGAAUGUAAAGAAUCGGCUCAGCACAGUUGGAAGUAAGAACUCUCUCAUCGCGCCUGCAAUUCGACUACAGUUGUAAGUCGGAUUAGGAGCCAGAAGAACGGAUGUUGUUAUUGUUAAAAACGGGAGGAGAAUAUGUGGCACAGGAGGCUGCCUAGCCAACGCACCUUUGCAUCAGAACAAAAGUUACUUUGAAUUCAAAGUACAAUCAACAGGAGUGUGGGGGGUUGGAGUUGCUACCCAAAAAGCCAAUCUUAACCAGAUUCCUUUUGGUCGGGAUGCACAAAGUUUAGUGCUUAGACAUGAUGGAGCUAUUUAUCACAAUAAUGAGGAGCGAAACCGACUACCAGCUAACAGUCUUCCUCAAGAAGGAGAUGUUGUGGGGCUGACCUAUGAUCAUGUGGAACUGAACAUUUAUUUGAAUGGGAAAAAUAUGCAUUGUCCAGCAUCUGGAAUUAGGGGUACAGUAUAUCCGGUUGUAUAUGUUGAUGACAGUGCAAUUUUGGAUUGUCAGUUCAGUGAAUUUUACAGUGCUCCACCUCCAGGGUUUGAAAAGAUAUUGUUUGAGCAACAGAUCUUUUGAUAUGCACUGUUUAAAUGUAUACUGUCACCCGAACACUGUUACCUUUCCUGCUCCUGCCUAGAUAUUUGUAUGUUUCUUUUGGUCGGAAGUUACUCAAAGGCAUUUUGGUCGAAUUGUCAGCAAAUUAACGGGUUUAUCAUGCUUUCAUCUUUCACUAUCUGAUAAUGUUAAAAAAAAAAAGUGUUUUUAAAGAGACCACUGGUAAACAAUGCAAGGUUCAAUAAAUAAAUAGUAAAACUUGUGCACCUUAUGAUUAAGGAAAAUUAAACUGAAAUGUUUGCCUGUGAAACACAGCAACGUGAUUAAUAUACUUUCCAAAUUAAGUACAAAUAUCAAAUAAGUAAUCACACGAAUAAUGUUGCUCUAAAUACUAUAUUUAGGCAGAGUUACUUAUUUGCUUUUAAUCUCUUAACCCUGUCCGGAAUUUAUUUUUGUUGCUCUUUUUGUAGCUGAUUUUAUGUGAUAUUGAUAUCAGAGUAUUUUUCAUCCGUGCAGUAUUCUUCUCUCAACCUUUUUUACUCUUUAUAGACUCAUUUAAAUUUUGCUACUACGGUCAUCAAUUUACUCAUCUUUGCCCUUUCUCUCUGUUCCACCAAGACUGCUUUGCUCCAUUUUAAAUAUUUUUUCGGUUGAGAUGAGUACCUAAUGGGAUGUAAAACAUCUUCAAAAUCACCAGUUAAAAUCUUCCCUACCUGGAGCUCGCAUACAAAAAACAGAUUGUCAGUCAGAAGAACAAAUUAUUUGACCAAAAAUUAUAGACUGCAGUGCCUCUGCUCAUAAAUGCAUUUUAUUAGAUUUCCCUCUGAAACGUUAACUUUUUUGUCCCUGAAGAUAAAUGCCAUGAAAGUCAGAAAUAUGAGAAUAAGACAGAAUUCUGGAAACAGCAGGUUAAAACUGGGAGGAUGUUCGAAAUGGCAAUGUUUAAGUUCACAAAGUGGCCGAAAAAGAAAACAAUGAUUGAAGGAGGAAUUAUUGAAUUUAUGUGAUUAAUUGGGCCAUUGAGUACAUCUCUGACACAAAAACAGUGUUGGUUCUGAUGUCGAGUCCUCCAGCCUGAAUCAUUAACUGUUUCACUUUGCAGUGCUUCCUGACCUAAGUAUUUACAACAUUUUCUGUUUUUGUGUUGAAAAUAUUGGUGAUACUGGAAAUAGCAGGUCAAGUGAUAUCCAUGGAUAGAGAAACAGUUUGAAACAGGAAAUAUAUUUAAUCUGUCUUAAAAUGGAGACAGGAAUGAUGGAGAGGAGUAUAGUAGUAUAUGUCAGAAUGGAAGGUGCUUAAAUGGGUGCAUUUGUGAGAUGGUUAGCUAACAAGCAUAUGUUUGUCACUGUGACAAUCUUUGUCUCCUGCUUGGCCCUUCAGUAAGAUUCAAAUGCAUUGCCAGAAUUUGAAGGAAAUGAGAAUAACUAAACUUAUUGAAGUUUUUGAAGCUCAAUAAAAAAGUUGUUGUCAAUUCUAAUACAAAAGAAAAUAGCCGAACAGAGCAUCUUCAUUCUGCUCCAUUUUCAUCUUUAAAGAAUUGGAACUGAACUUUUAAAUCCAUGCUUUCUGUCUAAACCAAGAUUUCUUGACACAGUGUUUAUCAUAGGAUUGGACUUGUGGAUAAAUGCCUAUUAUAUUUGGAUUCAGCAUCUAAAGUUUCUAUGAAAUGGUAUUAUUUAUAUUAAAAAAAUAGGUGUACAGUUCUUUGUGAAGAUGAUGUAGAAUCUCCACAAUGUUAUUUAAUAUUUUCUAAAGAUUAGAGGACAUUAAAGAACACUUGUUUUUGCAACUAUUUGUAUUGAAAUUUAUUAUUAUAAAGUGGAAAUGUUGUAAUUACAAACAUUAACAGAAAUGAGACCUAUGCUCUAUAACUAAGCAUUAAUUUGGGGGUUUCUGAAAAGCCAUACAGAAGAAUUUGGUAAGUGUAAUUAGUGAAUAUAAAUAGUGUUCAUGACCGUACCUCUAUUCAAAAAGAUUGUAGCUGAUCUUUUACUUCAGCGCUGGGUUCCUGGGAGAACCUCAUUUCCCUUGAUUCCCUUAAUAUGUAAAAGCAUAUUAAUUUUUGUUCUGAACAUAUUCAGUGUAAAGCCCUUGAGGAUUCCAAAGAUUUAUCAACCUCUGAGUGAAGAAAUCUUGUCUCAUCUCAGUCCUGAGUAGCUAACACCUUACUCUGAUUUUGUGGUCCCUUGGCCGAGGUACUCCUACCAGGAGAAAAAUCACCCCCAUAUUUUACCUCGUCAAGCCCUGUAAGAAUGAGAUCAUCCUCUUAUUCUGAUAAAUACGAGUUGAGACGCAGUCUGCUUAUUCUCUUCCUAGACAAUAAUCCUGCUGUGCAAUGUUUAAUAUCAAAGGGGAUUACUUCAAUUGUUUCCACAUUUUCUGCCUUGUCCUCAUUCAUUCACUUAAUCUGCCGAUAUCCUUCUGAAGCUUCUGCUUCCUCCCCACAACUCACUGCCACCCAGCCAGCUGAAAAAAAUGUAUGACUAUUUUCUCCUGCAGACGAUUGUUUUAAAUUCAUCUUGCAUUAAAAUCAAAACAGAGAAUAAAUGAAGAGUAUGAGGCCACUGUGCAUGUAUAUUUUUUUGUUUUGUUAUGGUAGCGAAUUCGGUUUGUGCCAAAGAGAUGGAAUGUGUUGAAGUAAAUGUGAUCAACAUUAAAAUAAGAAUAUUAUGUUCUGUUCAGGAAAAUGUACAUUCUAUUAAAGUAGCUGCUUGAAAUAUAUUGUCAACCGUAACUGUUGGAAUGAAAUAAAUAUUGGCUUAUUUUGCCCAUAAAUGGUUGUGACAAAACUUUUUGGAAGGUUGCAAGGUGAAUGUUAUUUUGUAACAAUAAAUAUUUCUUCCCACCUCA